AUUGAACGCUGGCGGCAGGCCUAACACAUGCAAGUCGAGCGCGCGGCGGACGGGUGAGUAAUGUAUGGGGACUGCCCGAUCGAGGGGGAUAACUACUGGCAACGGUGGCUAAUACCGCAUACUAUCGGAUAACCCAUAUGGGAUUAGCUAGUAGGUGGGGUAACGGCUCACCUAGGCGACGAUCUCUAGCUGGUCUGAGAGGAUGAUCAGCCACACUGGGACUGAGACACGGACCAGACUCCUACGGAGGAAGCAGUGGGGAAUAUUGGACAAUGGGCGCAAGCCUGAUGCAGCAAUGCCGCGUGUAUGAAGAAGGCCUUAGGGUUGUAAAGUACUUUAAGCGGGGAGGCGGUACCCGAAGAAGAAGCACCGGCUAACUACGUGCCAGCAGCCGCGGUAAUAC
Molecule: ribosomal RNA, 403 nt
Filed under: uncultured bacterium
Lineage: Bacteria
Description: partial 16S ribosomal RNA
Rfam family: Bacterial small subunit ribosomal RNA
Source: RNAcentral